Molecule: ribosomal RNA, 246 nt
Filed under: uncultured Streptococcus sp.
Lineage: Bacteria; Bacillati; Bacillota; Bacilli; Lactobacillales; Streptococcaceae
Description: partial 16S ribosomal RNA
Rfam family: Bacterial small subunit ribosomal RNA
Source: RNAcentral
UCUAGCGAGACUGCCGGUAAUAAACCGGAAGGGAAGGUGGGGAUGACGUCAAAUCAUCAUGCCCCUUAUGACCUGGGCUACACACGUGCUACAAUGGUUGGUACAACGAGUUGCGAGUCGGUGACGGCGAGCUAAUCUCUUAAAGCCAAUCUCAGUUCGGAUUGUAGGCUGCAACUCGCCUACAUGAAGUCGGAAUCGCUAGUAAUCGCGGAUCAGCACGCCGCGGUGAAUACGUUCCCGGGCCUU